Molecule: non-coding RNA, 1946 nt
Organism: Phoenix dactylifera (date palm)
Lineage: Eukaryota; Viridiplantae; Streptophyta; Magnoliopsida; Arecales; Arecaceae
Source: RefSeq, a predicted model, not a curated record
GGAGUGGUCCCAAAUCGGGCCGUAGGAGGAUGUGACCGCAUCGGGCAGUCGGCGAGGUCCGGCUUCCGGGAUCGGAUGCCUUCCGAGAUUGGACGCUUUCUAGGUCGAACGUUUCGAGGUCAAGGGCUCCUAGGUUGCACGCCUGGUCGGGCGCCAGGUCGGUCGUCCGAGGUCGGGCGCCAGGUUGGUCGUCCGAGAUCGGGUGCUUCCAAUCACGUGCUUUGGGGGGACUUGUAUUUCCCUCAACAAGUGGCAUGUUACUACCUUUAUUGUGGGCCACAACCAUGAGUUGUUAUCUCCAUCAGAUAUGAGAUUGCUUCCAGAAAAUCGAGUCAUAAAUACGGAGGAUGAGAAACGUAUUCUUCUAUUGAAAGAAGCAGGCCUUUCAGUGAGGCAAAUCAUCCGUGUGCUUGAACUUGAAAAAAAUAUCAAUCAUGGAGAGUUUCCUUUCUUUGAGAAAGAUAUUCGCAAUCUUUUCAGCAAAGUUAGGAAGAAGGUUGCGGGAAAUGAUGCUAUGAACCUUGUGGAGUAUUUCAAUUCUUGUAAAUGGGAAAAUUCCAACUUCCAAUAUGUGUUCAAGGUUGAUGAAGAGAGAGGAAAUUAGAACAUUUGUUUUGGUCUCCCGCUCAGUGCUUUAAUUGGUAUGAUAAAUAUGAAGAUGUUGUUGUCUUUGAUACCACUUACAAAGUGAACUCAUAUGACAUGCCUUGUGGAUUUUUUGUUGGGAUCAACAAUCAUGGAAAAACAGUGCUUUUUGGAUGUGCACUUCUUCGGAACGAGACCACAGAAGCUUUCAAGUGGUUGAUGAAGACUUUUGUAUCUACGAUGAAGAAGCCGCCUAAAACUAUCAUAACGGAUCAAGAUCCAUGGAUGAAGGAAGCGAUUGCAUCAGAGUUGCCAAUGACUAAACAUUGCUUUUGUAUAUAGCAUAUCACUUCAAAAUUUAGUGGUUGGUUUACAUCUAUCCUUCGCAACCAAUAUCCACAAUGGUGUGCUGAUUUCUAUAGACUUUAUAAGCUAGAUACACUAGAGGACUUUGAGAAUCAGUGGCCUCUUAUAGUUGGCAAAUAUAAUUUGCAGGAUAACAAACAUGUCAAAGGUUUGUAUGAAAUCAAGCACUUUUGGGUACCAGCCUAUCUUCGUGGCUAAUAUUUUGGAGGAGUGACAACUACUGGUCGAUCUGAAUAUAUCAAUGCUUUCAUUAAGAGAUUUGUUUCUUCUAAUACGACAUUAAAGGAUUUCGCUAUACAGGUUGAUGUUGCUGUUCAAGAAAUUAUUCAAACACAAUUGCAUGCUAAGAUGCUAGCUUCUCACAAGAUGACUAUUUUGAGGACCAAGUCACCAUUAGAAAAACAAGCUUCUGAAGUUCUCACUCCAUUUGCUUUCAAAAAGUUUCAAGAAGAAUUUUCUAGAUCAAGUCAAUAUGCAGUGCUUCAUGAGAGUGGUUAUGAAUAUAUUUUGAGAUAUUAUGAAGGCUUAAAUAAUCAAAGUCACAAGGUCUUUUGGGAUGGAAAGUUAGCAAUGUGUGGUUGUAAGCAAUUUGAAUUCUUGGGAAUACUUUGUCGUCACAUAUUACGAGUCUUCUUGCAAAAAGAUUGUCAUAUGAUUCCAAGUGCUUAUUUGCCUUUGCGUUGGUGCCUUGAAAAAGGUAGCAAUGGGCUUGAAGUUUUGGAGGAGCAAAAUUACCAGCACAUGAUAUCACUUUGAUAAAUAAUGAAUUUAUAGAUGGUGCUGAUAUUCUUUAUCCUCCACGAUCAGUAACUAAAGGACGUCCUAAGAAAAGGCGGUUGAAAGUAGGAAAAAACUCGAUAAAGAAUACAAGAACUUGUUCAAUGUACAGGAACCCUGGGCAUUAUGUGAACAAAUGUCCCGAAAAUAAGGAGAAUGCCAUUGUUUCAAAUGGUUCGCAAAAAAAGAAGGAGGUUGUCGCAAGUGACUGGGCUUGA